AGUUGAUCAUGGCUCAGGAUGAACGCUAGCGACAGGCUUAACACAUGCAAGUCGAGGGGCAGCAUAAAAGUAGCAAUACUUGUGGCGACCGGCGCACGGGUGAGUAACGCGUAUGCAACCUACCUAUCAGAGGGGAAUAACCCGGCGAAAGUCGGACUAAUACCGCAUAAAACAGGGACACCGCAUGGUGAUAUUUGUUAAAGAAAUUCGCUGAUAGAUGGGCAUGCGUUCCAUUAGGUAGUUGGUGAGGUAACGGCUCACCAAGCCGACGAUGGAUAGGGGAACUGAGAGGUUGGUCCCCCACACUGGUACUGAGACACGGACCAGACUCCUACGGGAGGCAGCAGUGAGGAAUAUUGGUCAAUGGGCGAGAGCCUGAACCAGCCAAGUCGCGUGAAGGAAAGAAGGAUCUAUGGUUCGUAAACUUCUUUUGCAGGGGAAUAAAGUGCAGGACGUGUCCUGUUUUGUAUGUACCCUGAGAAUAAGGAUCGGCUAACUCCGUGCCAGCAGCAGC
This 514-nucleotide ribosomal RNA is filed under the name uncultured bacterium. RNAcentral's name for it is "bacterial SSU rRNA". It matches the Rfam family "Bacterial small subunit ribosomal RNA", at positions 10 to 518 of the family's 1533-position model. The record is from RNAcentral.